GAUGAACGCUAGCGACAGGCUUAACACAUGCAAGUUGAGGGGCAGCAUAAAAGUAGCAAUACUUUGGUGGCGACCGGCGCACGGGUGAGUAACGCGUAUGCAACCUACCUAUCAGAGGGGGAUAACCCGGCGAAAGUCGGACUAAUACCGCAUAAAACAGGGGCACCGCAUGGUGAUAUUUGUUAAAAAUUUAUUGCUGAUAGAUGGGCAUGCGUUCCAUUAGGUAGUUGGAGAGGUAACGGCUCACCAAGCCUACGAUGGAUAGGGGAACUGAGAGGUUGGUCCCCCACACUGGUACUGAGACACGGACCAGACUCCUACGGGAGGCAGCAGUGAGGAAUAUUGGUCAAUGGGCGAGAGCCUGAACCAGCCAAGUCGCGUGAAGGAAGAAGGAUCUAUGGUUCGUAAACUUCUUUUGCAGGGGAAUAAAGUGCAGGACGUGUCCUGUUUUGUAUGUACCCUGAGAAGUAAGGAUCGGCUAACUCCGUGCCAGCAGCCGCGGU
This 503-nucleotide ribosomal RNA is filed under the name uncultured bacterium. RNAcentral's name for it is "bacterial SSU rRNA". It matches the Rfam family "Bacterial small subunit ribosomal RNA", at positions 28 to 521 of the family's 1533-position model. The record is from RNAcentral.